GGCGGGUACGGCAAGGGCUGUAAGCGACGG
This 30-nucleotide non-coding RNA is filed under the name Durinskia baltica. The record is from RNAcentral. Lineage: Eukaryota; Dinophyceae; Peridiniales; Kryptoperidiniaceae.